Vidua chalybeata is the source of this 570-nucleotide long non-coding RNA. RefSeq lists it as uncharacterized. The transcript is spliced from 3 exons. The record is from RefSeq and is a predicted model, not a curated record. NCBI's taxonomy places the organism in Eukaryota, Metazoa, Chordata, Aves, Passeriformes, Viduidae.
GUCCCUGUGAUGCCAGGAGGGUUUGUCCUCCCAUGUACAAACAACUCCCAGAGCACAAGGGAUGGAAUGUAUAACUUGUUCCUUGGCCAACACCUGUGUUUUACAACAGGAAAGGACUCUGAAGGGAAGUCAGAGCUUUUCAUGGAGUUUGGCAGCUGUGGCUGGCAGACGUGGUGCAUCUGAUGGAGUUCAGGGGGAGCCAGCACUGGUGCUGAGGAGCAGCUCAGUUGCUCUCUGAGAGAUCUGCAGUGCAAAAUUCCUGAGAGCCAGCGAUCCCUGCGAGGCAGCAGCAUGCUGGAGACAUGACAGCGAGGUCAGACUAAAUAUCAGCUCUGUGCCAGGUUGCUGACAUCUUGUCCUGGAGGAAAAGAUCCUGAAAGGGCCUUGAGGAAGUAGCGAGGGUGCUGCAGAAGCUGUGUCCCAAGGAAGCAGUGAUGGCACUAACCCCUCUCCUGGGCGCUGGCAUCCCAGGCUGUGCCUGCGCUUCUCGGGAUGGGCACCUGGCUCUGCCAGCAUCGUCGGGCAUCGCUCCUGUGGCACAGCCUGCUGGGGCAGGUGCUGCUGACCCAG